GUGCUACAAUGGCGCAUACAGAGGGCAGCCAACUUGCGAAAGUGAGCGAAUCCCAAAAAGUGCGUCGUAGUCCGGAUUGGAGUCUGCAACUCGACUCCAUGAAGUCGGAAUCGCUAGUAAUCGUGGAUCAGAAUGCCACGGUGAAUACGUUCCCGGGCCUUGUACACACCGCCCGUCACACCAUGGGAGUGGGCUGCAAAAGAAGUAGGUAGUUUAACCUUCGGGGGGACGCUUACCACUUUGUGGUUCAUGACUGGGGUGAAGUCGUAACAAGGUAGCGCUAGGGGAACCUGGCGCUGGAUCACCUCCUUAAACGAUGAU
RNAcentral lists this ribosomal RNA (321 nucleotides) under Vibrio parahaemolyticus. Its description in RNAcentral is "partial 16S ribosomal RNA". It matches the Rfam family "Bacterial small subunit ribosomal RNA", at positions 1222 to 1533 of the family's 1533-position model. Lineage: Bacteria; Pseudomonadati; Pseudomonadota; Gammaproteobacteria; Vibrionales; Vibrionaceae. The record is from RNAcentral.